AAGCAACUUAGCAAGAGACUAUCUCAAACUAAGAAAUAAAAAGGGCUGGGGAUGUGGCUAAGUGAUAAAGCACCCCCGGGUUCAAAUCCUAGUACCAAAGGAAAGAAAGAAAGAAACCUUUGGGAAAGUGAUUUUUGUGGACUCCUAGAUCACCCUUCUUGGUAUUUAAUGACUCAAACAGGAAUCUGCUAGCAACUAUCUUGCCCACGGUUAAACCUCUUGUACAAACUACUUAUAACAGUGUUCACUCUCCACUUUAGCAAGGGGCAUCCUUCUGCCUAUCUCCUGAGCCCAGCUAUCCCCUCCAUUAUCAAGCAUGGCAGAUGUGUCACCUAAAUUCAAAUGUCCUCCCCCAUUUCCUUGGCAGUUCCAGCCCUUAACAUGCUUCAGAUCUCUGCUAUAAAAGUUAUCAUCUCCUGAAACUCCUGGCAGUGACACCAGAAGAUUCUAGUUAGUCUUCAUUCUCAUUUUUCUUUUCCCCCAGACUUCCAAACACUAAGUUAUCACUUGACAAUUUUUGCCAAUGUACUUACCUUUGUAUUUCUCUUACUCUCCCCCCACCCCAAAUUAGUGUCUUUCCAACCUAUUCCAUAAACUGGGAGCUCCUCUGGUGUACAGGCCAGGACUCCUUCCUCCUGAACCCUCAUGGGUGCUUCCUGAUUAUUGACUAUCAGGAAGUCCCACCUAAGAGCUAACCCUCUGGCUACUGGGUGGUUGGGGCCUAGAAAUAUGAUAAGGCUUUGGCCUGCUGCCAACUUACUGGAUGGUCCCCAAGGGCAAUUUGGGGAUGUGAAGGGGAAAAUGACUCCUAUUACAAUGUAUUUCCAAGUGCCCUAGAGUAGAAACCAUGCUUCUCACUGCAUUCAGGGCCACUGUCUACCUCUUUCUUGCUCUUAGCAUCCUGGCCUGCCAAGGCUACAGUACUAGUAAGACCUACUGCAUAAUGAGGAACAUCACUCAAGGGCUGUUCCAUCCAGAGACAUGUGGCAGAGAAGUGGCUGGACAAGGGAUCCUGAAGGUGAGCAAAGGUCAGACAUGAGCCAAAUGUCUAGCUCCAUCUCUGCUGCAGAGACAGAGAUAGGCUGUUUCUUUAGGGCUAAUGAACAACAAGUUGGAGCCAUGACUGGGGGCUGGAGUUGGGGGGCUGUAGAGCAGAGUUUAUAGGCACUUGCAUUUUCUUAACGGCUCCCUCCUCACACAUUCCUCUGCAUUUUUCCCUUUUAUUAAUGUGGCAUCUUUCCCAGGCCACUUUAUGGGCCCGUGUGUGUUUUCACUUAUGCCCUGAUUGAGUUUGAUCGUGUCUCUGCCUAUGAAGAACCCUUAGAUCUUGCUUGAGGACUCCCCACCCCCACCCCCACGUUCCCCUGCAAGGACUCCAGCACUGCAUCUCAACAGAACCUCAGGGACUCUCCCGUCUUUUCCACCACACUGGGCACUUCUCUACAAAGGGUCACACCUCAUCUGGACCCCAAAUAAGGUGACCCAGUUUGAUGACUCACCUAAAUCUCAAAUGACUCCUGGAACUUGCCCAACAAUCAAAUCUGCCACAGAGGAUGAAAAGGAAGAUUUGCCACAACUGAAGAUUUUCAAAGGAAUGUGCUGUGAGCCUGAAGGCCGUUGCCAAAGAGCAGUUCUGAAAAUAUUUUGAGCAAUCACAGCUCUGAGAGAACAUAGCUUUCCAAGGGAACUGCCUUCAAAGGCACAGCAUGCGUUUUUGGAGAGUCAAGCUUCGGCGUGUUUAUUAAAAAAGACGCUCAUGUUGCUUUCAGGAACUCUGCUCUCAGCCUUUCUCUCUUCUGCUCAGUUCCAAGAGGGCAGGACAGAGGUUUGCAGCUCACUUGCUCUCUUUGGGCCCUGUUACCCUCUAUCUGUCUCCUGUUAUCUGGAGGUUGCUCCGUUUCAGUUUCACUGGGACAUAAGUGGAAAGCUUGGUGACAGCCCUGUGAUUUUUGAAAAAUAUACCCUCUGGGAGCUGCAGUUUUUUUUCUCUGUAAAAUAAGGAAAAGUCAUACACAUGGGCUGGGGAUAUCACUCAGUUGGUAGAGUGCUUGUCUUGCAGGCACAAGACCCUGGGUUGAAUCCCCAGCAUCACCAAAAAAAAUAAAAGAAAGAAAAGUCAUAUACAUUCUGCAGGGUGGUGAGAAUUAAAUCUGUAAGAGGCUUGGCAUGCUGGGGGUCAUCAGUAAAUACUAGGGAUUUUUG
RNAcentral lists this transfer RNA (2202 nucleotides) under Marmota monax (woodchuck). The stretch from base 2022 to 2094 matches the Rfam family "tRNA". The record is from RNAcentral. Lineage: Eukaryota; Metazoa; Chordata; Mammalia; Rodentia; Sciuridae.